UACGAGAGGUCCAACCGUUAUUCGGAAUCACUGGGCUUACAGAGUUCGUAGGCGGUCCGGAAAGUGGGGUGUGAAAGCCCUCGGCUCAACCGAGGAAUUGCGCUCCAAACUACCGGGCUAGAGGAAGAUAGAGGUGAGCGGAACUGAUGGUGGAGCGGUGAAAUGCGUUGAUAUCAUCAGGAACACCGGAGGCGAAGGCGGCUCACUGGGUCUUUUCUGACGCUGAGGAACGAAAGCUAGGGGAGCAAACGGG
RNAcentral lists this ribosomal RNA (253 nucleotides) under uncultured bacterium. RNAcentral describes it as "partial 16S ribosomal RNA". It matches the Rfam family "Bacterial small subunit ribosomal RNA", at positions 524 to 776 of the family's 1533-position model. The record is from RNAcentral.